GAUGAACGCUGACAGAAUGCUUAACACAUGCAAGUCGAUGGGGAAGUGGUGCUUGCACCCUGGCAACCAUGGCGGACGGGUGAGUAACGCGUAAGGGACUUACCUGCAGGACUGGGAUAACAGGGGGAAACUCCUGACAAGACCGGAUAAUGUCAUGGAGCUGCAUGGCUUUAUGAUGAAAGGAGACGCCUGCGGAGAGCCUUGCGUCCUAUUAGCUAGUUGGUGAGGUAAUGGCUCACCAAGGCGAAGAUAGGUAGCCGGCCUGAGAGGGUGGACGGCCACAGGGGGACUGAGAUACGGCCCUUACUCCUACGGGAGGCAGCAGUGGGGAAUAUUGGACAAUGGGGGCAACCCUGAUCCAGCAAUUCUGUGUGCACGAAGAAGGUUUUAGGAUUGUAAAGUGCUUUCAGCAGGGAAGAAGUAAGUGACGGUACCUGCAGAAGAAGCGACGGCUAAAUACGUG
Molecule: ribosomal RNA, 463 nt
Filed under: uncultured bacterium
Lineage: Bacteria
Description: partial 16S ribosomal RNA
Rfam family: Bacterial small subunit ribosomal RNA
Source: RNAcentral